RNAcentral lists this long non-coding RNA (255 nucleotides) under Cicer arietinum (chickpea). RNAcentral describes it as "long non-coding RNA (CARI_LNC002856)". The record is from RNAcentral. Lineage: Eukaryota; Viridiplantae; Streptophyta; Magnoliopsida; Fabales; Fabaceae.
CAAAAGUAAAACACUUUCCUCUCCUCAGAUUUCCUCACCCGAUCUGCUCUUCCUCUCUCUCUCUUUCUCUUCACCUUUUUUUGUCAUCCAUUCUUGAGAAAGAGAAAAAAAAAAGCUUGUGUUGAUAUUUGGAAACCUUGUGAGGAAGAUCGGAAAAUACGGAGCUAGUGAAAUUUUGAUGAAGCUCUCAAGUCAAAAGUUGAGGAAUAUUAGGAAACUCUAUUGAUAUGUUUGAAGUGGUACAAGGAAAUUGAG